UGGUGAAGGCAGCUACUCGAC
This 21-nucleotide non-coding RNA is filed under the name Arabidopsis thaliana (thale cress). The record is from RNAcentral. Lineage: Eukaryota; Viridiplantae; Streptophyta; Magnoliopsida; Brassicales; Brassicaceae.